This 631-nucleotide long non-coding RNA is filed under the name Salvia miltiorrhiza (redroot sage). Its description in RNAcentral is "long non-coding RNA (SMIL_LNC006904)". Lineage: Eukaryota; Viridiplantae; Streptophyta; Magnoliopsida; Lamiales; Lamiaceae. The record is from RNAcentral.
CUAGCGAUAUGAAGUUGAUCGGCGCAUUGCUCAUCGCCGCCGCAUUGAUCGCGGCCGUUGCUCCCCCGAGCGAGGCCGCGAUAGGAUGCGGCGCGGUGGUUUCAUACCUUAACCCAUGCCUCCCCUACGUGACAAACAAGGGUCCCUUAGGGGGGUGCUGCGGCGGCAUCAAGGGUCUCUACGGCGCUGCCAAGACGACGCCGGACAGGCAGAGCGUCUGCAACUGCCUCAAAACCCUCGCCAGUUCGUAUAAGGGCGUCAACCUCGGCAAGGCCGCCGGCCUCCCCGGACAAUGCGGCGUCAGCAUUCCCUACAAGAUCAGCCCUUCCACCGACUGCUCCAAGUAAGCAAAAUUAAAUAUUACUCUCUGUCCCAGCGAAUCUUGAGUCACUUUCCUUAUAUGACAAAAAAAUUCUCUUUAUUCACCAUUUCACUUUUUCACCUACCACACUUAAUACACUAAAUACGAUUUUCCUAAUUCCUGUGUCGAAAAGAAUUGCCUCAAGAUUCGCGGGACGGAGGGAGUAACAGAUAUUGGUAAUUUAAUUAAUUAAUGAUCAUGUUUAAUGUUGUGUUUUGCAGGGUGAAGUGAGGUUUGAUCAUGUGAUGCAGAUUAAUGAGCCGUAUUCCG